CGGGUGAGUAACGCGUGAGCAAUCUACCUUAGUUACUCGGGAUAGCCCGAGGAAACUCGGAUUAAUACCGGAUAUUCUUAUUUUUUCACAUGAAGUUUUAAGGAAAGGUCAGCCGAACUAAGAUGAGCUCGCGUUCUAUCAGCUAGUUGGUGGGGUGAAAGCCUACCAAGGCUACGACGGAUAGCUGGUCUGAGAGGACGAUCAGCCACACUGGGACUGAGACACGGCCCAGACUCCUACGGGAGGCUGCAGCAGGGAAUAUUGUGCAAUGAGCGAAAGCUUGACACAGCGACACCGCGUGUGGGAUGACGGUUCUAGGAUUGUAAACCACUUUCAGGAGGGAAGAAAAUGACGGUACCUCCACAAGAAGACCCGGCCAACUAUGUGCCAGCAGCCGCGGUAAUACAUAGGGGUCAAGCGUUGUCCGGAUUUAUUGGGCGUAAAGAGCUCGUAGGCGGUUCAACAAGUCGGUCGUAAAAGUUUAGGGCUCAACCCUAAAAUGUCGAUCGAUACUGUUGUGACUAGGAUACGGUAGAGGUGAAUGGAAUUCCGAGUGUAGCGGUGAAAUGCGUAGAUAUUCGGAGGAACACCAAUUGCGAAGGCAGUUCACUGGACCGUGAUCGACGCUGAGGAGCGAAAGCUAGGGGAGCAAACAGGAUUAGAUACCCUGGUAGUCCUAGCUGUAAACGAUGGAUACUAGAUGUAGGAACUGGAUUGACGGUUUCUGUAUCGUAGCUAACGCGUUAAGUAUCCCGCCUGGGGAGUACGGUCGCAAGACUAAAACUCAAGGAAUUGACGGGACCCCGCACAAGCGGCG
RNAcentral lists this ribosomal RNA (817 nucleotides) under uncultured marine bacterium. RNAcentral describes it as "bacterial SSU rRNA". It matches the Rfam family "Bacterial small subunit ribosomal RNA", at positions 103 to 934 of the family's 1533-position model. The record is from RNAcentral.